Musa acuminata subsp. malaccensis (wild Malaysian banana) is the source of this 989-nucleotide non-coding RNA. The record is from RefSeq and is a predicted model, not a curated record. NCBI's taxonomy places the organism in Eukaryota, Viridiplantae, Streptophyta, Magnoliopsida, Zingiberales, Musaceae.
AAUCUAAAGGGGUGCACGCCAAAAGAUUAUAUCAUCGGACUAUGCCAUUGAUCCGAGUACACAUGGAGAGGAUGAGCCUUGGUAUCGCGGUUACUUUCCUCCUUGACAAGAUGGAUUACCAAGAUUCGAGUCAUAGAAACAGUGUUUCUGCUUAUAAGGAAUGGGGUCUACGCCAACAGACAUCUCAGUGUUGCCCAACAUACAUGUGUGUGCUUUUGGUAAAGUGUUAGUCCCUUAUGCAUAGAAUAUUAUGAUAUGUUCAGCAUGGGGCCGCAUGACAGUCCGUGAUGCAAGUGUUGAGUUACCUAGCAGUUAUAGGUUGUUCAGAGUUACCUAUCUUUAAUUCCCUCAUUUCCUUGUUUUUUGAAAAAUUGAUUGGAUAUUCAGUCAGAUUUAUAUUUGGCUUAAUGGUUUUCUUAUGUAGGUGGGAUUUGUGGAUACUGGAUCACAUUCUUUCUCUAGUAACAAGAUAAUUAUUGCAGGCCACCAUGUCAUCUGAUAGAACAGACCUUGGCUUCAUUGCCAUCUCAUACUCGAGAUUUCCUCUGGUUGCUUCUCCAGAGAAGCUCUACAAAAUCUUCGAAAGGUGUCAGAAAAAGCUUCUUUGCUAAUCACAGGUGCUUAUUAAUGUUAAGACAGAUUACAAUUCUUGCGUGAACAAGAUGAGUUCUUGCAUUUUGUAUGCUGCUGUGUCGAGAUUGUAUGUGGUACAUGCUGCUCAUUUGCAUUUGGUGUUGUUUUCAGGUUUUCGACAUAUUAAAGAGUAACCGCUUGUCGGUGUGAUGAAAGACCUCCUUUUAUAGGUUGUCAUUUAAGCACUGCUAUAAAUAUAUACAUAUUUCAUCAUGUGAGCGGUGUGAUUUUAAUCCUUUGUUUCUGUUCUCGUGUCGCUGUAGCAGCUAUUAAUCCCUUCAGACGUUGACCAAUAAUGAGGUCUUGUUGCCCACUAUGUUUCGUGCCAUAAAUCGUGUCCUUAAGUAAUAUGUCGA